Sorex araneus (European shrew) is the source of this 106-nucleotide small nuclear RNA. The record is from Ensembl. Lineage: Eukaryota; Metazoa; Chordata; Mammalia; Eulipotyphla; Soricidae.
GUGCUCACUUCAGCAGCAUAAAUACUAAUAUUAGAACAAUACAGAUAAAAUUGGCAUGACUUCUGCCAAGGAUUACAUGUUAAGUCAUGAAGCAUUCCAUAGUUUU